AUAUUUUCCUCAUUUUGACCUUCACUUUCGGUUUGAUAAAGAGGCAAUAUGGAGACAUGAACACUACGGUCAUGGCAAGGCUACUGAGAAGUUCAAGCGUGUGUGGAAAGUAUGGUCACGUAAAACAACUUUACGGAUCAUCUUUCUCAAAUAGGUGCCUUUGGACGUCACCUGUUUUGCAGGCAGAUGAUGAUGGUAAAAAGUCCUUUGGGACCAAACAAAUACAGUUUAUCAAGUCCAUUUUCGAUAAGUCUGACUUUGGACCUUAUGAAAUACAGAAGGAAUCUCACUCAAGCCAGCUGUCAGACAAAGAAAAUGUGUAUGAAAUUCAGUUUCAUGCGGUGAAGCCAGAAAAUAUGGAGGAAUAUUUGAAACAGUUCUCAAAAUUUCAAGAGUUGAUGCAUGAAAAGAAAACAGGUGCUCAUUUGGUGGGAAGUUUUACAGUGGAGAUAGGAGACCAAGAUGAAGCAAUUCAUAUUUGGGAAUACAAAGGAGGGUAUCCAGUUUUAAAUAAUGCCACAGAAAUCUACAGGACCGACCAGGAUUUCAUCAACUACAGAACAAACAGAAAUAAAAUGCUUCGGUACAGAAAGAAUCAAAUUCUUCUACCCUUCAACUUCUGGCCUGCCCCAGUUCCCAGAGAGGGAAGGAAUAUUUAUGAAAUGAGAAGCUACACACUAAAGCCUGGGUCAAUGAUAGAGUGGUCAAAUUGUUGGGCAAAAGGUUUACGAUAUCGGCAGGAUAAUGAUGAGGUGGCAGUCUGCGGACUGUUCACUGAUCUAGGUGACUUAUUCACAGUGCAUCACAUGUGGGGGUAUAAAGAUUUACAGACAAGGAAAGAAACAAGAGAAAUGGCCUGGAGCAAACCAGGCUGGGAUGAAUGUGUUGCCUACACAGGUUAGCUAAAUGGCUGUAUAUCAUUUUGAGUUCUACAGCAACAGUUGUAUCCCCAAUUUGUCAUUGUAGAUGAGCAUUUAUGUAAUACUUUUGAUUUCACAUAUUAUUAUUUUUAUGUAGUUAUUAUGCCCCCCCCCCCCCCCCCCCCCCUCCCCUUCAAAGAAGAGGGGCAUAUUGGUUUGCACCUGUCUGUCGGUAGACCACAUGUUGUCCGCUCAAUAUCUUGAGAACCAUUCACUUGAUGAUAAUGAUAUUUCAUAUGUGGGUUGGGUAUGAGUAGAAGAGGACCCCUAUUGUUUUUCAGGUCAAAGGUCAAUCUACUCUAUUAUGUCUGCUCAAUAUCUUGAGAACCCUGUGCUCGAAAGACAUCAAACUUGGCACACUGGUACAUCCUAAGGAGUAGAUGAUCUCUAUUGAUUUUGAGGUCAUAUGGUCAAAGGUCAAACUGGGCAUAGGAAUAUACUGACCAUUCAAUGUCUAGAGAACCCUUUGCUUGACAGACAUCAAACUUGGUACACCAGUACGUCUUCAGAAGAAGAUGACCCCUAUUGAUUUUGAGGUCACAUGUUUAAAGGUCAAGGGUUAACCUGGACAUUGGAAUAUACUGUCCACUCAAUAUCUUGAGAACCCUUUGCUUGACAGACAUCAAACUGAGUACACUGGUGUAUAUUCAGGAGAAGAUGACUCCUAUUGAUUUUGAGGUCACAUGUCAAAGGUCAAGCUGGACAUAUAAUAUACUGUCCACUCAAUAUCUUGAUAACCCUUUUGCUUGACAGACACCAAACUUGGUACACUGGUACAGCAUAAGGAGUAGAUUACCCCUAUUGAUUUUUAGGUCGCAUGGUCAAUUCACUCUUGACAUAGGAAGAUAUUUUCUGCUCAAUAUUUUGAUGUGUGUGUAUUAACCCUUUUCAAUUUUGCACCAUGGGGGGCAUAUGUGUUUUACAAACAUCUCUUGUUUAUUUUUGCAGUACCACUAAUUCGCCAUAUGAAGUCCAGGAUUCUGAUACCUACCCCUUUCUCCCCAGUACAGUAAAAUGUAUUCCACAUUGCUAUAGUCCUAAGAAAACAAAGUGCUGAUCGAUACAUAUUUAUGCACUGUAUAUAAAAAUAAAAGAACGUAUGAAUUUGUAAAGAUCUAAUUAAAUUUGGCAGUAAAAUGAAAAAAGUAUUAGUUUUUGCUCUAGUCAUCUGUCAUUCAUGACUAUAAUAAAGAACGUAUUAGCAUUUUGUGAUAUUAUAGAACACCUGAGAAAAAGUUGGUUGUGUUGUAUUUUGAGGUGCUGAGCAUAAUAUUCACUUGAAUAAGCAUAGUAAAUCCUGUAAAGAUAUUACAUGUGUAAUAGUUUCACUGUACCUGUUAAAGAUUUUGUAGUAUUUGAGGAACAGUGCAUAAAUGUACAUAUUACACAAACAUAAUUUGUGAAUGAUUGUACAUGUAUCGUAAAAUUGCAAUUGUGCUGUAUUUAUGGGAAUAUUUUUUGCGAUUUGAAUGUAAUGAUAAUCUCUGUUUUUCAAACAAACAUAGUUCUGCAGAAUGACUCCCCUAGAAAUAAUAUAUUUGUUAAAGUAGAUGGUCCAUUUGCAGCGAUGUUAUUUUUGUGAAUUGAUUGAUAGAUUUAUCAACAAUAAAUAGGUACUUGUAAAA
Ostrea edulis (European flat oyster) is the source of this 2545-nucleotide RNA transcript. It is a transcript of the gene named protein NipSnap-like, with no coding region annotated. The record is from RefSeq and is a predicted model, not a curated record. NCBI's taxonomy places the organism in Eukaryota, Metazoa, Mollusca, Bivalvia, Ostreida, Ostreidae. The transcript is spliced from 10 exons.